UACAAUAUGGACGAAAAAGAAAAUUUGCAAAAGAUUUGAUCAACUCCAUCAGAUACCAUCAGCUAAAAACAAUAUUGAGACAGUAGAGAUGGCCAAGUCAUCAUGGAAAAAUCUGUGAUUGCUUUAUGAGGGAACAUAAAAACUAUAGAGCCAGGGAUUCAGUAUACCAAUUUGAAAAAAACAAAUCCUGUUAUAUCUAAAAUUGAUAAAGAAUGCUAGAGCAAUGUAUGAGGAGUGGUAAUAUUCCAUUGAAAUCCCCUGCAUAGAGACAAGUAGUGAAGCUACAAUUUUAAGGAAUGAUUGUAAUCAUAUUUUAUAUAAAUAAUAUUAAUAUAUUUAGCAUCACUAUCAACUAGUAUAGGAUCAAAUUUAUCUUGCAAAAAAUUAAUUAA
Molecule: long non-coding RNA, 392 nt
Organism: Gordionus sp. m RMFG-2023
Lineage: Eukaryota; Metazoa; Nematomorpha; Gordioida; Chordodea; Parachordodidae
Exons: 4
Source: RefSeq, a predicted model, not a curated record